AAUAGAUACCCCGGUAGUCCACGCCGUAAACGAUGGAUGCUAGCCGUUGGCAGGCUUGCCUGUCAGUGGCGCAGCUAACGCAUUAAGCAUCCCGCCUGGGGAGUACGGUCGCAAGAUUAAAACUCAAAGGAAUUGACGGGGACCCGCACAAGCGGUGGAGCAUGUGGUUUAAUUCGAUGCAACGCGAAGAACCUUACCUGCCCUUGACAUGUCCGGAACCCUGCAGAGAUGCGGGGGUGCCUUCGGGAACCGGAACACAGGUGCUGCAUGGCUGUCGUUAGCUCGUGUCGUGAGAUGUUGGGUUAAGUCCCGCAACGAGCGCAACCCUUGUCCCUAGUUGCCAGCGCGUCAUGGCGGGAACUCUAGGGAGACUGCCGGUGACAAACCGGGAGGAAGGUGGGGACGACGUCAAGUCAUCAUGGCCCUUAUGGGGCAGGGCUACACACGUGCUACAAUGGCGAAUACAAAGGGUUGCCAACUCGCAAGAGCAAGCCAAUCCCAUAAAGCUCGUCGUAGUCCGGAUCGG
Molecule: ribosomal RNA, 526 nt
Filed under: uncultured bacterium
Lineage: Bacteria
Description: bacterial SSU rRNA
Rfam family: Bacterial small subunit ribosomal RNA
Source: RNAcentral